UGGGGAAUAUUGGACAAUGGGCGAAAGCCUGAUCCAGCCAUGCCGCGUGUGUGAAGAAGGUCUUCGGAUUGUAAAGCACUUUAAGUUGGGAGGAAGGGCAGUAAGCGAAUACCUUGCUGUUUUGACGUUACCGACAGAAUAAGCACCGGCUAACUCUGUGCCAGCAGCCGCGGUAAUACAGAGGGUGCAAGCGUUAAUCGGAAUUACUGGGCGUAAAGCGCGCGUAGGUGGUUCGUUAAGUUGAAUGUGAAAGCCCCGGGCUCAACCUGGGAACUGCAUCCAAAACUGGCGAGCUAGAGUAGGGCAGAGGGUGGUGGAAUUUCCUGUGUAGCGGUGAAAUGCGUAGAUAUAGGACGGAACACCAGUGGCGAAGGCGACCACCUGGGCUCAUACUGACACUGAGGUGCGAAAGCGUGGGGAGCAAACAGG
Molecule: ribosomal RNA, 429 nt
Filed under: Pseudomonadota bacterium
Lineage: Bacteria; Pseudomonadati; Pseudomonadota
Description: Proteobacteria bacterium partial 16S ribosomal RNA
Rfam family: Bacterial small subunit ribosomal RNA
Source: RNAcentral